UGUGCUUCGUGAACCUCGUCCUGGUGGGUAUACAUUGACACACAGAUCAAGAUAAUAAUUGGUGCUCAUAAAUAAUGCUAUAAGUGAACAGACAUUUUACAGGCUUAUAAUGAUGACAAUACAACUUGAUAAAUAUGUUCGUGCGUGUAGCGAAAGUCAGAAACAUACUUGAUGAUUCUGUUGGAAAGGAAAUUGUUGAUUGCGAUAACUGUUUUUCCUACUUAAUUGCAUGACGUUUCUGGAACGAGUCUGAUGUUUGGUGCCUUAGCAGCAUGUCUUAUUGUAAUAUAUUUGGCUGUUGUUGCUAUAAUUGUCGUUGUGAAUCCUGUUGUGGCUCUUUUGCUCAAUUCACCUUCUCUAAAACAUAUAUUGUGAAACUUCACCAAAUUAAACUAUGAAACACAUAUAACAGUAAAAAAAAGUGUGAUUUACAAAGCAUAUGCUAGUCAUAUGGGAAUGUUGGAUUAAAACAUUCAUCAUUUUCAGAGAACCAUCAUAUAUGAUAGUGAAGCCAUAUGAAAAUCAAUAGACAAGUCUAUCAAUUUAGCUGGUAAAAACAUGUUCAAUGUUGAGAUAAUGUCAGCUGACAUAAAUAAUUUGACAUCUAGAUAUACUUAUCAAUAUUAAUAUAUAUAUAUAUAUAUAUAUAUAUAUAUGUAAAAUCUAGACAUGGAUAAAAAGUCCUAAUUUACAAAGAAAGUCGAGCACAAGAAAAAAUAGAAAGACUGAAAAUAAUGUGAUAGAAAGGAAAUUAAUCUUGUGUAAGCAAUACUCAGUUUUUAAAAGGUGAUCCUUUGAUAAUAAAGCAUCCAAACUAACUUAUACCAAAUUAUAUUGCCUUGUCGAGUAAUAAAAGUCAAACUGAUUGAAUUCAUGGCAAAUUCAUCUACAUUAGCUCCUAUGCAUGAAAAUAAAAUAUUUACUUCUCAAUCAAAGCCUGCUAAAAGUAAUUUUCACUUACUUUCUAAUGGUACUGAUUUUCAUCCCAUUGACACUAACCACAAGCCUAAUCGUCAUGCUAAUAUCCUCCCUGCAGCAUCCAUAUCAAAAAUUUUGAUAAGGAAAUGAUAACAUGACAUUAUACUGUAGAAAAUAUAAGAAGAUGGCCAACACAUUCAGCAAACAAUCUUUUCUGAGUUCAGCUAUAUCCAAGAACAGUUCAUAAUAUGCUAAUGAUCUCAGUUUAACUUGUAUAUUUUACCUAGCCAAAUGAUGCACCACAGUUACCAAACUAUAUCAUCAGCAAUCAGAGUCUCAAUUUCGGAUUGCCUAUAUCAUUCUAUACAGAUUUUUUCAUAUUUUUAUGCUUCAAGCAGGCUUGACUCAUCUCAAAAUGUCAUGUCACUACAACAAUUUGUCCGUCAAUUGUUGAAUUUGAAAAUUUUGAAGUAAAAUAUAUCUUGUUAAAGAGGAGAUACAAAAUCAUGUAGGCCUUUAUUUGAAUAAGGAGAAAGUAAAGGAGACAUAACGGAAACCCAACAAUUGAGUCACUAGCAUAAGGGGAACUAUCUUACAAUAAACAAUGUGUUUAGUAUAUAUAAACACAACUAAGGAUAUUUACUUUUAAAGUAACAGGUCAUUUCACCAUUUGUAUUAAAUCUCGACUGUUAUAAUGUGACACUGGGUAUUAAUUGUAUACUAUUCUAGAUUCAUCAUGCACUGUUUAAAUGAUUCCAAUUCGAAAUAAUCUAAAAGAGUAGAAUCGUGAGUAUGAUCAAAUAAAAGGAAGCAUAAAAAAGAAGAUUUUACCUUAAGCUUACAAUUGAUGCCUUUGAUAAAACUUUUGUUCCAUGAAUGAACUUUACCUUCAUAUAUGCAGAAACAUGACCUCCAUAGAUAUACUUGCGGUGAAGUGAUGAGUGCAUAUUAUUCAUUUAUUUUGAUUCUUUUAUGUUUAGUUUUAUUGCAUGUUUCAUGUGUAUAUGAGCUUAUUAAGGUGUUUAAUGAUUUCAGGAAGAAUUGAAGCUGAAAUGAGGAAAAAUAAAAAAUUGCAGGAUUUUUAGCAUUAAGUUGGAUGAAUGGUCUUGGCUUAGGACUUGGAUUUUAUUGUAGAGCUCUUCUUUAGCUUUCCGGAACAUCUUGAAUCGUCCAAAACGGAGUUCAUAUGAAAAAGUUAUGAUAUUUUUACUAAACGGACGUUGAACCUCAAAGUUUGGAAGUUGCAAUUUACACAACAGUCACUUGGAGCCUGAUUUCGACCUUGAUGCAGAAAGAUUCUGUCGAUUCUCAAAGAAUGAAAGUUGUAGAUCUCGUCGAUAUCUUCGUUUUGAUAGGUAGCAGGCCCCGUAACUCCUCCCGGAUCAAAAGCUAUGCUCAUUUUACCAAAGGACGUUGCAGCAGGAAAUGAAAAUUCGCCGCAGCGAAUUUGAGGGGAAAAAUUGAGAAAUCUUGGAUUUUUGGAAAGUUUCUAAAUGCAAAUUUUGGUAGACUUCUACAUGGAAUUGGAUUGAUAUUUUAUUAGAUUUAGGAUAUCUUUUAGACUAAGAUUUAUUUCCAAAUUGAAUUCUAUUUCUUUAUGGAAACUAGUUAUGAUUUGUAAUUCCUUUUAGGAUUUGGAUUUCUAUUUCCUACAAGAUUUAUGACUUUAUCUAGCACUAUAAAUAGAGGAUGAAAGUCAGGGUUUUAGGCAUUCAACUAUCAACUAUCAUCUAUUGGAGUGUAGACUCAAGAGCAUGUCAGGCUAGUUCUUUUUAUUCAGUUCUAAAGGGAGGUGAAUCCUUGUUACAAGUAAUUGAUUAAUUGAGUAUUAUUAUUUAUUCCUUCUUGUGUGAAAUUUCUUCUGAUAAUCUGUUUUCAUUGAUUGCAUGCUAAUUGAUCUAAUUGAUUUAAUAUGGCCAAUUGAGUUAAUUUGAUCAUUAUCAUCUGCUAGAUUAAGAUUGGUAUUACGUGUAAUUGAUAUCU
Molecule: long non-coding RNA, 2901 nt
Filed under: Panax ginseng (ginseng)
Lineage: Eukaryota; Viridiplantae; Streptophyta; Magnoliopsida; Apiales; Araliaceae
Description: long non-coding RNA (PGIN_LNC017658)
Source: RNAcentral